CAGUAGCCACGGUAAUACGGAGGGUGCAAGCGUUAUCCGGAUUUAUUGGGUUUAAAGGGUCCGUAGGCGGAUCUGUAAGUCAGUGGUGAAAUCUCACAGCUUAACUGUGAAACUGCCAUUGAUACUGCAGGUCUUGAGUAAAUUUGAAGUGGCUGGAAUAAGUAGUGUAGCGGUGAAAUGCAUAGAUAUUACUUAGAACACCAAUUGCGAAGGCAGGUCACUAAGAUUUAACUGACGCUGAUGGACGAAAGCGUGGGGAGCGAACAGGAUUAGAUACCCCGGUAGUCCCUGUCUCUUAUAC
Molecule: ribosomal RNA, 301 nt
Filed under: uncultured bacterium
Lineage: Bacteria
Description: partial 16S ribosomal RNA
Rfam family: Bacterial small subunit ribosomal RNA
Source: RNAcentral